AACGAACGCUGGCGGCAGGCUUAACACGUGCAAGUCGAGCGCCCCGCAAGGGGGAGCGGCAGGACGGGUGAGCAACGCGUGGGAAUCUACCCAUCCCUACGGAACAACUCCGGGAAACUGGAGCUAAUACCGUAUACGCCCUUCGGGGGAGAGAUUUAUCGGGGAUGGAUGAGCCCGCGUUGGAUUAGCUAGUUGGUGGG
RNAcentral lists this ribosomal RNA (200 nucleotides) under uncultured bacterium. RNAcentral's name for it is "partial 16S ribosomal RNA". It matches the Rfam family "Bacterial small subunit ribosomal RNA", at positions 29 to 256 of the family's 1533-position model. The record is from RNAcentral.